GAUGAACGCUGGCGGCGUGCCUAAUACAUGCAAGUCGAGCGAACGGACGAGAAGCUUGCUUCUCUGAUGUUAACGGCGGACGGGUGAGUAAAACGUGGAUAACCUACCUAUAAGACUGGGAUAACUUCGGGAAACCGGAGCUAAUACCGGAUAAUAUUUUGAACCGCAUGGUUCAAAAGUAAAAGACGGUCUUGCUGUCACUUAUAGAUGGAUCCGCGCUGCAUUAGCUAGUUGGUAAGGUAACGGCUUACCAAGGCAACGAUGCAUAGCCGACCUGAGAGGGUGAUCGGCCACACUGGAACUGAGACACGGUCCAGACUCCUACGGGAGGCAGCAGUAGGGAAUCUUCCGCAAUGGGCGAAAGCCUGACGGAGCAACGCCGCGUGAGUGAUGAAGGUCUUCGGAUCGUAAAACUCUGUUAUUAGGGAAGAACAUAUGUGUAAGUAACUGUGCACAUCUUGACGGUACCUAAUCAGAAAGCCACGGCUAACUACGUG
Molecule: ribosomal RNA, 497 nt
Filed under: uncultured bacterium
Lineage: Bacteria
Description: partial 16S ribosomal RNA
Rfam family: Bacterial small subunit ribosomal RNA
Source: RNAcentral